Notolabrus celidotus (New Zealand spotty) is the source of this 694-nucleotide long non-coding RNA. RefSeq lists it as uncharacterized. The transcript has 4 exons. NCBI's taxonomy places the organism in Eukaryota, Metazoa, Chordata, Actinopteri, Labriformes, Labridae. The record is from RefSeq and is a predicted model, not a curated record.
AUCGAUUUUACAAUAUAUAAGCAUUUCAUAAAGUUUGUCUGUUCGCCACUAAAAUAGUUCAGCUGAACACAACCAAUACAGUUCAAUUUUAUCGACACAUUUUCAUACACAUCAGCUAGAGAGGAACACAGCUGAUUCUCGACACCUUGAUUCAAGAACAAAGAUGGCCGCUGGCAGUUUCCGACAUGUCUCCAAAAACUUUACAGAUGAACUUUUGGCCUCCUCAGACAAAUUUAGUCCUGGUAGAUAAAUGUGGGUUGACCUCAAGGUGUGAGGCACAAAGGUGACCCUGGAUAGUCAAGUACGCAAAGCAGUACAACAAACAACAAAUCCUAUUAAACUGAGAUUAAUUCCUUGCCAACUACGGGUCAAGUUUUCUCUCAAUGCCUCAAAAACUCAUUCCCCCUAUCCUCCCAUCUCCCGUUAAUCUUGCUGGUCCCUGUUCCAGUGAGAACCAUAAAUGCUGCCUGUGCUGAAUAGAGGUCAAUGGAGGGGUUUUGACUUUGCUGUUCACACACCAAGAGCAUAUAGGAGCCAUAUAGGAGGGAGGCACAGAUUCAGACUCAUUGAGCUGCAGCAAGGCUCCUGUAAUCAUUGCUUCAAUAAAGUCUGCCACAGCAGCUUCUCUCUUUACUUUGUAAUGUUGUGGUAAUUAAAUUCAUGGCUGAGCUAAGAGAGGUUUUGAAUGGAUACA